GUGGGGAAUAUUGGGCAAUGGGCGAAAGCCUGACCCAGCAACGCCGCGUGAAGGAAGAAGGUCUUCGGAUCGUAAACUUCUAUCCUUGGUGAAGAUAAUGACGGUAGCCGAGAAGGAAGCCCCGGCUAACUACGUGCCAGCAGCCGCGGUAAUACGUAGGGGGCAAGCGUUGUCCGGAAUGAUUGGGCGUAAAGGGCGCGUAGGCGGCCUGGUAAGUCUGGAGUGAAAGUCCUGCUUUUAAGGUGGGAAUUGCUUUGGAUACUGUCGGGCUUGAGUGCAGGAGAGGUAAGUGGAAUUCCCGGUGUAGCGGUGAAAUGCGUAGAGAUCGGGAGGAACACCAGUGGCGAAGGCGACUUACUGGACUGUAACUGACGCUGAGGCGCGAAAGUGUGGGGAGCAAACAGGAUUAGAAACCCCGGUAGUCC
Molecule: ribosomal RNA, 425 nt
Filed under: uncultured bacterium
Lineage: Bacteria
Description: partial 16S ribosomal RNA
Rfam family: Bacterial small subunit ribosomal RNA
Source: RNAcentral